This 467-nucleotide ribosomal RNA is filed under the name uncultured archaeon. Its description in RNAcentral is "bacterial SSU rRNA". It matches the Rfam family "Archaeal small subunit ribosomal RNA", at positions 1 to 474 of the family's 1478-position model. The record is from RNAcentral.
UUCUGGUUGAUCCUGCCGGACCUGACUGCUAUCGGAUUGAUACUAAGCCAUGCGAGUCUUUGUAGUAAUACAAGGCAGACGGCUCAGUAACACGUAGUCAACCUACCCUAUGGACGAGAAUAAUCUCGGGAAACUGAGCAUAAUUCUUGAUAGAUCAUAAUGCCUGGAAUGGUUUAUGGUUAAAAUGAUUCGUCGCCAUAGGAUGGGACUGCGGCCUAUCAGCUUGUUGGUGAGGUAAUGGCCCACCAAGGCGAUUACAGGUACGGGCUCUGAGAGGAGAAGCCCGGAGAUGGGUACUGAGACACGGACCCAGGCCCUAUGGGGCGCAGCAGGCGAGAAAACUUUGCAAUGUGCGAAAGCACGACAAGGUUAAUCCGAGUGAUUUCUGCUAAAGAAAUCUUUUGCCAGUCGUAAAACCGCUGGUGAAUAAGGGGUGGGCAAGUUCUGGUGCCAGCAGCCGCGGUAAU